GACGUAGGUGGCGAACGUUAUCCGGAAUUAUUGGGCGUAAAGGAUGCGUAGAUGGUGUAGUAAGUUAUCGGUGGCAAAUCGAGGCUCAACCUCGUGGAAGUCGGUAAUACUGCUAUGCUAGAGGAUAGGAGAGGUUAACGGAACUCCCUGUGGAGCGGUGAAAUGCGUAGAGAUCGGAAAGAACACCAACGGCGAAAGCACUCUGCUGGGCCGACACUGACACUGAGAGACGAAAGCUAGGGGAGCGAAUGGG
This 253-nucleotide ribosomal RNA is filed under the name uncultured bacterium. Its description in RNAcentral is "partial 16S ribosomal RNA". It matches the Rfam family "Bacterial small subunit ribosomal RNA", at positions 524 to 776 of the family's 1533-position model. The record is from RNAcentral.